AGAGUUUGAUCCUGGCUCAGAUUGAACGCUGGCGGAAUGCUUUACACAUGCAAGUCGAGCGGCAGCGCGGGGGCAACCCUGGCGGCGAGCGGCGAACGGGUGAGUAAUGUAUCGGAACGUACCCAGUCGUGGGGGAUAACUAUCCGAAAGGAUAGCUAAUACCGCAUACGUCCUGAGGGAGAAAGCGGGGGACCGAAAGGCCUCGCGCGAUUGGAGCGGCCGAUAUCGGAUUAGCUAGUUGGUGAGGUAAAGGCUCACCAAGGCGACGAUCCGUAGCUGGUCUGAGAGGACGACCAGCCACACUGGAACUGAGACACGGUCCAGACUCCUACGGGAGGCAGCAGUGGGGAAUUUUGGACAAUGGGCGCAAGCCUGAUCCAGCAAUGCCGCGUGAGUGAAGAAGGCCUUCGGGUUGUAAAGCUCUUUUGUCAGGGAAGAAACGGUGGGAGCUAAUAUCUCCCACUAAUGACGGUACCUGAAGAAUAAGCACCGGCUAACUACGUGCCAGCAGCCGCGGUAAUACGUAGGGUGCAAGCGUUAAUCGGAAUUACUGGGCGUAAAGCGUGCGCAGGCGGUUUUGUAAGUCUGUCGUGAAAUCCCCGGGCUUAACCUGGGAAUUGCGAUGGAGACUGCAAGGCUAGAAUCUGGCAGAGGGGGGUAGAAUUCCACGUGUAGCAGUGAAAUGCGUAGAGAUGUGGAGGAACACCGAUGGCGAAGGCAGCCCCCUGGGUCAAGAUUGACGCUCAUGCACGAAAGCGUGGGGAGCAAACAGGAUUAGAUACCCUGGUAGUCC
Molecule: ribosomal RNA, 793 nt
Filed under: uncultured bacterium
Lineage: Bacteria
Description: bacterial SSU rRNA
Rfam family: Bacterial small subunit ribosomal RNA
Source: RNAcentral